UAACUGCGAUAAGUAGCGUGAAUUGCAGACGCAUUGAACGUUAAACUUUCGAACGCACAUUGCGCCGUAGGAGUUCUACCCUACGGCACAUCUGGUUGAGGGUCGUGAAUCAAAAACACAGCGGACAAAUGGCUGUAUUACGACUCUUGGUUGGCCAUAACUUCGGUGCCCGUCUUGCGCCGAAUGUGGUCAUCCAUCAUGGAUUGAAGACGCCAUUGAGUGUCUUUGCCACAAGGGCGGCUGAUCCCCUCACGAUAAAGGGCCAGCCAGUUGGGUACUCUACUACUCUUCUGUACAUACCCAGCUGUGAGUUGGACCGAGGAUUCAGCACGAUUAUCGCCUUUGCUUGGCGCAUCUCGCAAUCCCGACCUCAACUCAGGUGUGAUUACCCGCUGAACUUAAGC
Molecule: unclassified non-coding RNA, 404 nt
Filed under: plant metagenome
Description: partial contains 5.8S ribosomal RNA, internal transcribed spacer 2, and large subunit ribosomal RNA
Rfam family: 5.8S ribosomal RNA (bases 1-105)
Source: RNAcentral